UGGGGAAUUUUGGACAAUGGGGGAAACCCUGAUCCAGCCAUCCCGCGUGUGCGAUGAAGGCCUUCGGGUUGUAAAGCACUUUUGGCAGGAAAGAAACGUCAUGGGUUAAUACCCCGUGAAACUGACGGUACCUGCAGAAUAAGCACCGGCUAACUACGUGCCAGCAGCCGCGGUAAUACGUAGGGUGCAAGCGUUAAUCGGAAUUACUGGGCGUAAAGCGUGCGCAGGCGGUUCGGAAAGAAAGAUGUGAAAUCCCAGAGCUCAACUUUGGAACUGCAUUUUUAACUACCGGGCUCGAGUGUGUCAGAGGGAGGUGGAAUUCCGCGUGUAGCAGUGAAAUGCGUAGAUAUGCGGAGGAACACCAAUGGCGAAGGCAGCCUCCUGGGAUAAAACUGACGCUCAUGCACGAAAGCGUGGGGAGCGAACAGG
Molecule: ribosomal RNA, 429 nt
Filed under: Acidobacteriota bacterium
Lineage: Bacteria; Pseudomonadati; Acidobacteriota
Description: Acidobacteria bacterium partial 16S ribosomal RNA
Rfam family: Bacterial small subunit ribosomal RNA
Source: RNAcentral